GCCGAAGUGGCGGAAUUGGCAGACGCAGCGGACUCAAAAUCCGCCGGUGGCAACACCGUAGGGGUUCGACUCCCCUCUUCGGCACCA
Molecule: transfer RNA, 87 nt
Filed under: Pelotomaculum sp. PtaB.Bin104
Lineage: Bacteria; Bacillati; Bacillota; Clostridia; Eubacteriales; Desulfotomaculaceae
Description: tRNA-Leu
Rfam family: tRNA
About the family: Transfer RNA (tRNA) molecules are approximately 80 nucleotides in length.
Source: RNAcentral